GUGGGGAAUAUUGGACAAUGGGCGAAAGCCUGAUCCAGCCAUGCCGCGUGUGUGAAGAAGGUCUUCGGAUUGUAAAGCACUUUAAGUUGGGAGGAAGGGCAGUAAGUUAAUACCUUGCUGUUUUGACGUUACCGACAGAAUAAGCACCGGCUAACUUCGUGCCAGCAGCCGCGGUAAUACGAAGGGUGCAAGCGUUAAUCGGAAUUACUGGGCGUAAAGCGCGCGUAGGUGGUUUUGUAAGUUGGAGGUGAAAUCACCGGGCUCAACCUGGGAACUGCCUCAAAAACUGCAUGACUAGAGUACGGUAGAGGGUAGUGGAAUUUCCUGUGUAGCGGUGAAAUGCGUAGAUAUAGGAAGGAACACCAGUGGCGAAGGCGACUACCUGGACUGAUACUGACACUGAGGUGCGAAAGCGUGGGGAGCAAACAGGAUUAGAAACCCCGGUAGUCC
This 450-nucleotide ribosomal RNA is filed under the name uncultured bacterium. Its description in RNAcentral is "partial 16S ribosomal RNA". It matches the Rfam family "Bacterial small subunit ribosomal RNA", at positions 354 to 796 of the family's 1533-position model. The record is from RNAcentral.